Molecule: ribosomal RNA, 371 nt
Filed under: uncultured bacterium
Lineage: Bacteria
Description: bacterial SSU rRNA
Rfam family: Bacterial small subunit ribosomal RNA
Source: RNAcentral
GAACCGUGCGAACGUUGUUCGGAAUCACUGGGCUUGAAGGGCGCGUAGGCGGGCUGCCAAGUCCGGGGUGAAAUCCUCCCGCUCAACGGGAGAACGGCCCCGGAUACUGGCGAUCUCGAGGCGGGUAGGGGCGUGCGGAACUAUGGGUGGAGCGGUGAAAUGCGUUGAUAUCCAUAGGAACACCGGUGGCGAAGGCGGCCCACUGGGCAGUCACUGACGCUGAGGCGCGAAAGCUCGGGGAGCGAACGGGAUUAGAUACCCCGGUAGUCCGAGCCGUAAACGAUGGGUACUAGGUGUUCGUGGUAUCGACCCCACGGGUGCCGGAGCUAACGCGAUAAGUACCCCGCCUGGGGAGUACGGCCGCAAGGCUA